This is a long non-coding RNA of Conger conger (European conger), 854 nucleotides long. RefSeq lists it as uncharacterized. NCBI's taxonomy places the organism in Eukaryota, Metazoa, Chordata, Actinopteri, Anguilliformes, Congridae. The transcript has 3 exons. The record is from RefSeq and is a predicted model, not a curated record.
ACUGAAUUAAAUUGAGCCAACCCCUUAACCAUGGUCAGUAACAGAAACAUGUUCCCCUUUACUGUCCCAGCCUUCUGAAAACCCUGCAGAUGAGGUUCUGUACAGCUCAGUCGUCCGGAAAAAUCUACAGACCACACACUCGUCUCACCGUUCUGCAGCAGAUAGAGCCGGUGAUGUGAUUUACAGCUCAGUUGCCGGGCAGAACACACAGGUAUUUUGCCCACAAGCCCGAAGGAAGAGGCCUGGAUGUUCAGCAACGUGUGGAACCUGAGGAUUCCUAUUUCAGAGCAUCAAAUACAGCCAGUCACCCCAUUACAAAUAUUUGACUCUUUUUUCUCUACUGGACAAAAAAAGACACCACAUUUUCCUAACUUGAAAAGGAACUAUCGCCCUCUGCUGGACAGAUUAGAACACAUUUAAAAACGCAAAUAAAAAUAGACUAUGGCUACAUACUUUGAAUUCAUGCACUUUAAAAAAAGAUUAGUCAAGUUAAAAAAAAUGCUUUGCAUGUGUGUCAUUAAUCAGUUUAUUUUCUUUUUUUCUUGAACAUUUUCAUGAACGCUUGCACUUCAUACGCCUUUAUUUCUCACCUUUUUUGUUUAACAGAUAAAAAAUGUUUAUUUAAGUUUGUGCAUUUUGCAAUUGGACAAGGGAGGACAUUGCAUUAAAUUAUAGCUCUGAGUUUUACUUAAAAAGAGAAGUAGAUAUGAUCUUGUUCUGUAAGUGUGAAUGCUUUCACAGAAAUGGCUUCAACCCCACAUUAAAAUGUACCCCCAGUACAAUGUCCUGAGGGGAUUAACCACAGGAAAUAAUGCUGUUUGUAGCUCUGCUAAAAUAAAAACUGAAAGAGACAA